RNAcentral lists this ribosomal RNA (283 nucleotides) under Octomitus sp. Its description in RNAcentral is "partial small subunit ribosomal RNA". It matches the Rfam family "Eukaryotic small subunit ribosomal RNA", at positions 19 to 357 of the family's 1831-position model. The record is from RNAcentral. Lineage: Eukaryota; Fornicata; Diplomonadida; Hexamitidae.
GGUAGCAUACGCUUACCUCAAAGACUAAGCCAUGCAUGCCCCGUACAAGCUUCUACGGCGAAACUGCGAACGGCUCAUUACACCAGUGGCAACGUGCGCGGUGGUCCCUGCUAGUUGGAUAACGCUGGCAACUCCAGUGCUAAUACAUGGCUCUUUUCGCUGCACGCCAGCGGGCUUCGGCCUAGGCGAAUCACAGUGAAACAUCGACCGCACCGGCAGACCGCUUCGGCUUCUGAGGCAUCAUCUAGCGUCGGCAGGGUAGUGGCCUGCCGAGAAGUUAACG